Molecule: ribosomal RNA, 253 nt
Filed under: uncultured bacterium
Lineage: Bacteria
Description: partial 16S ribosomal RNA
Rfam family: Bacterial small subunit ribosomal RNA
Source: RNAcentral
UACGUAGGGGCCGAGCGUUGUCCGGAAUUAUUGGGCGUAAAGGGCUCGUAGGCGGUCUGUCGCGUCGGGUGUGAAAACUUACAGCUUAACUGUGAGCGUGCUUCCGAUACGGGCAGACUUGAGGUAUUCAGGGGAGAACGGAAUUCCUGGUGUAGCGGUGAAAUGCGCAGAUAUCAGGAGGAACACCGGUGGCGAAGGCGGUUCUCUGGGAAUAUCCUGACGCUGAGGAGCGAAAGUGUGGGGAGCGAACAGG